GGUUUGAUGGCGUAGUUGGUUAUCGCAUCUGUCUAACAUUCAACGGUGUCUUUAAGCGGUUAUUUCACAAAAUGUCCCCAGUUCGAGCCUAGUCGUAUUAAUUU
This is a non-coding RNA of Marasmius sp. AFHP31, 104 nucleotides long. NCBI's taxonomy places the organism in Eukaryota, Fungi, Basidiomycota, Agaricomycetes, Agaricales, Marasmiaceae. The record is from the annotation of a GenBank genome assembly.